GAUGAACGCUGGCGGCGUGCCUAAUACAUGCAAGUCGAGCGAACAGACGAGGAGCUUGCUCCUCUGACGUUAGCGGCGGACGGGUGAGUAACACGUGGAUAACCUACCUAUAAGACUGGGAUAACUUCGGGAAACCGGAGCCAAUACCGGAUAAUAUAUUGAACCGCAUGGUUCAAUAGUGAAAGACGGUUUUGCUGUCACUUAUAGAUGGAUCCGCGCCGCAUUAGCUAGUUGGUAAGGUAACGGCUUACCAAGGCAACGAUGCGUAGCCGACCUGAGAGGGUGAUCGGCCACACUGGAACUGAGACACGGUCCAGACUCCUACGGGAGGCAGCAGUAGGGAAUCUUCCGCAAUGGGCGAAAGCCUGACGGAGCAACGCCGCGUGAGUGAUGAAGGUCUUCGGAUCGUAAAACUCUGUUAUUAGGGAAGAACAAAUGUGUAAGUAACUAUGCACGUCUUGACGGUACCUAAUCAGAAGGCCACGGCUAACUACGUG
RNAcentral lists this ribosomal RNA (497 nucleotides) under uncultured bacterium. Its description in RNAcentral is "partial 16S ribosomal RNA". It matches the Rfam family "Bacterial small subunit ribosomal RNA", at positions 28 to 507 of the family's 1533-position model. The record is from RNAcentral.